Molecule: ribosomal RNA, 467 nt
Filed under: uncultured bacterium
Lineage: Bacteria
Description: partial 16S ribosomal RNA
Rfam family: Bacterial small subunit ribosomal RNA
Source: RNAcentral
GACGAACGCUGGCGGCGUGCUUAACACAUGCAAGUCGAACGGAAAGGCCCUGCUUUUGUGGGGUGCUCGAGUGGCGAACGGGUGAGUAACACGUGAGUAACCUGCCCUUGACUUUGGGAUAACUUCAGGAAACUGGGGCUAAUACCGGAUAGGAGCUCCUGCUGCAUGGUGGGGGUUGGAAAGUUUCGGCGGUUGGGGAUGGACUCGCGGCUUAUCAGCUUGUUGGUGGGGUAGUUGCUUACCAAGGCUUUGACGGGUAGCCGGCCUGAGAGGGUGACCGGCCACAUUGGGACUGAGAUACGGCCCAGACUCCUACGGGAGGCAGCAGUGGGGAAUAUUGCACAAUGGGCGGAAGCCUGAUGCAGCAACGCCGCGUGCGGGAUGACGGCCUUCGGGUUGUAAACCGCUUUCGCCUGUGACGAAGCGUGAGUGACGGUAAUGGGUAAAGAAGCACCGGCUAACUACGG